AAUGAGAAAUAAGAAUUGGACAGAGGGGGAAGUUGAACGUCAGUGUGCAAUUCUAACAGGUCUUAGCCAGUCCUUCAAGAGCCCAGGAGCUAGAAUGGCUCUUCCAAGUUUUCCAGAAUUGAGACAAAAAGGCCAGGUCUUCGUACAUCUGCAUAGACCAGUUCUUUGAUGUGAGCUAACUCCAGUAAGAGGGUAUAACCUUGAGCAAAGCAGCUCCCUUUAUUCUAGAGCAAUCUCCAAAGUGGUACUCAGCCAUGAAAUGUCUACAGCCAAUACUUCUCGCAGGUGUGGAAAUGCACGCUUCAGACCUGAAGGGGCAACGCAGAAGGCAUACCACAGCAUCCACCACAUGCUUCCACAACAAUAAAAAAUAGUUUGGAUAUUACUUAGCUUAAUAGUUCGAAGAUGUGUCUGUAAAAGUCAGCAUAAUGUUCAGUGACCAGCAACUGCUGAGAUGGUAGCUGCUUCGUCAGGUACAUGAGUCCUCAGUUGACCCACAUGGAUAUAUUGUUGUUUCUGUUUCUACAGCAAAACCUAGCCUUCCCUGACAUCCAAAUCUCCAAAGGACAAGUUGUAUGUGAAAAUGGUGAGCAGUACAAUUUAACUAGAACAUGCUAGGCCAUGAGGAGCUAGAGGAGAUAAAAUCAGAAAGAGAACUGGAGGUCAGAUAAUACAAACCCUUGAAAUCCAGACUAGUCUAGAAGAUAUAUUGCAGGAGGAAGGUACUACAGAUGGAAAAAAACAAUUAGGUUGGUAAGCCCAAAGAAAUGUGUCAGGAAAGAAACAAAAAACAAAAAAAUUCUCAGUUAAUAUCAGAUAUUGAGGCAUGGAUGAUGUCUUCAUUUUGAGAUCCAAGCGACAGGGUUGAAAGUAGAUAAUGAGGUCAAAACAGAGAGGCCACUAGGCAGGAAAUGCCAUAACCAAUCAGGAAGCUGCUUAAAGCCCAUGGCUAGGAGGAAAGUUGUAUUAGUUUUCUCUUGCUGCUAUAUCAAAUUAUUACAAGCUUGGUGGCUUAAAACAACAUAAACAUUAUCUUACAGGGCUGUAAAUUAGCAGUCUGACAUGCAUCUCACUGGCUAAAAUGAAGGCAUCAACAAAGCUGUAUUUCUCAAGACUCUAGGGAGUAAUCCAUUUCCUUGCCUCUUCUAGUUUCUUAAGGCCACCUGCAUUACUUGGCUCAUGGAACCUUUUCUCCAUCUUUAAAGUCAGCAAGGCGGAAUCUCUCUGACCGUCUUCAUUUUUGACAACUUCUUUGACUACAGCUAAGAAUGGGGUGGAGUGGAAAUAUUUUGAAGGGAUAAUGGUGAUGAGAUUGUGUCCAUCUGGAGAAUCCCAGAUAAACUCCCACUUUAAGACUUAUAACUCAAUCUCAUCUGCAAAGGUAACAUAUGUAUCAAGGGAUCUAAGGGUUAGGAUGUGGCCACCCUUAGGAGGCCAUUAUUCUGCCUGCCAUCAUAGCCAAGCAUUAGGAAUGAGGAACACACUCAAAAUAUCAAGAAACAAAAGUAUGGUACUGGACAGGGGAAUGCUCAGUUCUAAUGUAUUCUGAACUACUGUGGGUCAGACCUGUGUACAAUGGCUCUUGUCUUAAGGCCCGUAAAGGGCAAGUUCAGUGGUCUAAAUGAGAAGUGAUUCACUGGCCUGAACUCUGCCAGUAAUGGGGAAUGGAAUAUUAUAGACAGCAGUGCCCAUGGUGCCCUGAGACUGACUAUUCCUUUGCCUCAAUAAGUGCAAGCUGAAUGAAUGAAUUGAUGAGUGAGAUGUCAAUCAAAUAAACAGGACUGAACAACAGUCUGGAUACAGAAGGCAGAAAAGGGGAAAGGAUUUUUAGAAACUUUAACAGUCAAUGAAGCAGCUAGGAGAGGUACAAGGCUAGAUACUAAAAAAAACAUGGAAGAGCGAAGGAUGGAAUUUCUUAACUGAGUUCUGAAAGUGGCACUUCUUUCAGAAUUUAAUUUAUUUUACAUAGAUGAAGGGAAUACACUGUCAAAUAGAUAUAAGCUAGAGAAAUGUAAAAUAAUUGUAUGAAUUAUACACUUAGAAAAGGAUCAUCGGCCAGAUGUUUUGCAGGAAACCAAAAACUAGACAUAGGGAAACUAGACAUAAAAAAGGAUUGAGGGAACUUUUAAUUAGGAGAGUAAGAUCAUUUUUAAAUGCAUUUUUAUCUGUGAAUAAAUCUGAAUGGAUAAGACCAUGUUUUAAUUAUGAAACAGGAGACUUGGGAUGGAGCAAGACAGUGGAAUAGAAGGCACUACAAAUUGCUCCCAUCCCCACCCAGGACACCAAUUUAACAACUAUCUACACC
Homo sapiens (human) is the source of this 2305-nucleotide long non-coding RNA. NCBI's taxonomy places the organism in Eukaryota, Metazoa, Chordata, Mammalia, Primates, Hominidae. The record is from Ensembl.